RNAcentral lists this ribosomal RNA (897 nucleotides) under Berkeleyomyces basicola. RNAcentral's name for it is "LSU rRNA". It matches the Rfam family "Eukaryotic large subunit ribosomal RNA", at positions 38 to 964 of the family's 3401-position model. The record is from RNAcentral. Lineage: Eukaryota; Fungi; Ascomycota; Sordariomycetes; Microascales; Ceratocystidaceae.
GCAUAUCAAUAAGCGGAGGAAAAGAAACCAACAGGGAUUGCCCUAGUAACGGCGAGCGAAGCGGCAACAGCUCAAAUUUGAAAUCUGGCUAUUUUGUAGUCCGAGUUGUAAUUUGUAGAGGAUGCUUUUGGUGAGGUGCCUUCCGAGUUCCCUGGAACGGGACGCCAGAGAGGGUGAGAGCCCCGUACGGUUGGAUACCAAACCUUUGUAUAGCUCCUUCGACGAGUCGAGUAGUUUGGGAAUGCUGCUCUAAAUGGGAGGUAUAUCUCUUCUAAAGCUAAAUAUAGGCUAGAGACCGAUAGCGCACAAGUAGAGUGAUCGAAAGAUGAAAAGCACUUUGAAAAGAGAGUUAAACAGCACGUGAAAUUGUUGAAAGGGAAGCGCCUAUGACCAGACUUGUUUCUUUCAGUUUUGUUAGUUUUCGGACUGAUUUACUCUGUUAGUACAGGCCAGCAUCAGUUUGUUGUCAGGGAGAAAGGCUUAGGGAAUGUGGCUCUUUCGGGAGUGUUAUAGCCCUUUGCAUAAUACCUUUCGGCAGACUGAGGACCGCGCUUCGGCAAGGAUGCUGGCGUAAUGGUCAUCAGCGACCCGUCUUGAAACACGGACCAAGGAGUCAACCUUAUGUGCGAGUGUUUGGGUGUAAAACCCCAGCGCGUAAUGAACGUGAACGUAGGUGAGAGCUUCGGCGCAUCAUCGACCGAUUCUGAUGUUCUCGGAUGGAUUUGAGUAAGAGCACACAGGGUUGGACCCGAAAGAAGGUGAACUAUGCUUGUAUAGGGUGAAGCCAGAGGAAACUCUGGUGGAGGCUCGCAGCGGUUCUGACGUGCAAAUCGAUCGUCAAAUAUGAGCAUGGGGGCGAAAGACUAAUCGAACCUUCUAGUAGCUGGUUCCAGCCGA